AUAAAAGAAACGUGUCUUUCUAUAUUCUUUAUCGUGUGCGACAUUCGCUCCGCAUCAGUAGGAGGCGCUGCUACAGCGAAAAUAAACACUGACGCCGUCACUACAACGUGAAGAACACAAUUCGCGCAAUUUUUGUACGGUAAACGAAAGCCUUUUACAGUCCACAUAGUUGAGCUUUGGCUUAUUUAUCUACUGAAAAUGGAUGAGGACAUCGCCGCAGACUGCGAGAAAUAAAUCACUAAACAGACAAUAGCAGCUAUUGCAGAGACUGCGUUCAGGCAGUGCGAUAUGUUUGCCAAGGACUUGGGAGGGUUUGCGAGCAUGCUAAAAGACACACAGUUACAGUGGAUGAUGUAAAGCUGACAGCGAGGAGAACCACUGCACUGUACAACUACAUUCAGCAGAAAAGCGAAGAACUGGCAUUGAACAACCAAGAACUGAAGGAAAAGAGCAAGAGGAAUGCUGCCAAGAGGAAGAGUAAAGACAUGGAAGCCGAGGAGAAUGAGCUUGAAGACUGAACAAAAUAAAUGAACAAAUCCUCAUUGUUCACAUUUGGAGUUGUACAAAGUUUUUUUUAAUAUAGUAAUAAAACAGCUUAUGCAAAUAUUUGUACAUAAAUCAUUCAAUACUAAACACCAAUCUUUUUUUUUUUUUUCACUCAAACAUGUCCUAAUUUUUUUAUUGUAAAAGAAGCCUGUAAAUAUCUCUUCAUUGGGAAUAUGAAGCUCUAUGAAACAAUAUAGAUUGUAUAAAAUAUUUUAAAUCACACAUUUUAGAAACAUGGACAUGGCUUGCAUUUUAUACAAUGCGCUGCUUUCUCAAAAUCAGAUCAAGCCUAAUACCAUCUCAGCUCGGGAGGUUUUCAGCAGAAAAUACAGACUGAAAUGUAUUAGACUAAAAUGGUUUUGAGAAAAGUGCUCAUCCUGAAACAUCAAUCAAAUUCUGCUAGAGUCUACCGUGUCCAUGGCUGUUACCAGAGAUGCAGAACCACAGCAUCCUCAAUGUUAUUCCAUCCCCAAACGGACUUCCCGCCUGGGUUUCAGUUGCGGCCAGCCAUAUUCCAGGCCCCUAAACGUGUGAAUUCAAUUAGUUGUGGGGCAUUUACUCUCAAACAUCACGUGACAAACCAGUAUGAGAAAACGGCAAUCUAUUCAAAUAAGUUUUAUUGAAGCACUCCCUUCAUUUGACAAGUCAUAUAAAAUGCCUUUGAAAACACUGAGCGACGUUAUCUAGAGGAAAACUCCACAGACAUCCACAGCACUCAAAACAUACAGGUCACACUUACACCAUCACUCAUGUUUUCCCCCUCAGUUUCCACUGAAGAUGUCAUCCACAUCAGUUCACACUUACAGGUCAAGUUACAAGGAAAUAAAGCACACACACCAUACAGCAUUCAGAUGGGAUUAUAAGAAGCAAGACAAAGUAUGCAUCAUCAUCAUCAUCACAACAUUCCUAUAUAAGCACAUUGUCAGUAUACUAAAGGAGAAAAGCAAAACGGGGGAUCUAGGGAGACCAAAAAAAACAAAAACAAAAAAAUCCAUGAAGUACACAAACUAUAUGUCCAUCAAUUUGGGCUCAAUUAAGGGGAAAGCUGGGAAGUAUCAGCAGCUCUCAUUCACACGCUCACCAAACCCACCCAAUGCAGUCACAUUUCGGCUCGUUCAUUGCACUCGCAAGUCUUUUCGUUCGUGCGCUCCACACUUUCUUCGCUCACUCGCAGCCUUCUCACUCUUCGCCAUCACCAAUCGCACUCAAGGGUUGUUUU
Cyprinus carpio (common carp) is the source of this 1765-nucleotide long non-coding RNA. RefSeq lists it as uncharacterized. The record is from RefSeq and is a predicted model, not a curated record. Lineage: Eukaryota; Metazoa; Chordata; Actinopteri; Cypriniformes; Cyprinidae.